GGUGCGUAGAUUAUGGCAUUCUAGCACCAAUGUGUAUUAAGUGCACUAUUUUUGAACGCACUUUCUUUUUGUUGCCUUGCUUGUAAGUUAAUGGAGUGUUUUUGUUCUGCUGGUGUAACGUUUGUUGAGAUUCUUCUGUGUUCCCCUGUUUAGGGUGAGUAUCUAAGGCAUAACUGCGUUUCGCAGUUGUUUCGAUGCCAUAGUGAUAGUCUACUAGACCUUUCUAGUUUGUCUUUACUUUGUCUUUACAGGGAGUUAGUUUGGGAUUGGAAGUCUACGCUGGUGACUAGAGACAGCAGUGUGUUGUGUUGUGGUUUUCGAACAUUAAUGUGUACGUUGUGGGACAGCAAGGUGUAGAAUUUAUUAUUUAAUUAACAAAUUCACAGUAUUAAAAUGUUUCCAAAUUCAAUGUCAUUACUCCAUUAGUUUGUCAUCAUACUUAUAUUUAUAUCAUUAAAUAUUUACAUUGUUACCAGUGAGUCAUUUAUUUAUUGUAAGCACGAAGGUGCCUGGUUGAAUGUCAGGGGCCCGGGCAAACGAGCUAAAGCCUUAACAUAACCCUGACAGUUGGGGGCUCGAGUCCGGCUGUGACUACCAGUCACAGAACUAUAAUUUCAAUCAUUACAUAAGUUUUAGUUACUUGAUUAUGUAGCAGCAGUGUCUACAAUCUAAUAAUUGUUUACAUAGUAUUGCAUCACAAUCUACUGUACUAAUAUUGAAUUGUGUACCAUUGGCAACGAUGUAUAUUGAAAGUAGCAGAUAAAUACAUCCUUUGUGAUAUAAGUGAUAUAACUAUAUAACUAUACUGUACUAUAUACUAUAUAACUAUUGUAUUGCAAGAUUGAAAUGUAUUUGUAUUUUCUUGUUUUCUAUAUUGUGCUUCACCUUCGAACGAGUGUCUUCUCGCUCCCGACAACAAGCGAACGUGAGUGUAAAGUGGCUGUAAAGUGGUACCUGUACUGAAGUCUGAGGCUACUAGUAUUGUGUUGGAUUGUCCUGUGGCAACUAUAUUUCGACGCUGUGGCCUGAGUGAGGCACUUUCCUCCGACGUGGGAUACUGCACAGAUAGACUGAUGCCUCAGACAAAGGGAUCUCUGGCAUUCUUAGCCAGUGUGUGAAUGGUAUGUUGCAUCCUAUAAAAUUUGUGAGCCGUAAGUUGUUGCCUCGGGAGCAGAAGUAUUCUAUCAUUGAACGGGAAGGAUUGGCCAUUGUAUAUGCAAUAAAAAAAUUGGACAGGUAUCUGGCCGGAAAAAAAUUUCAUCUCCAGACUGACCACAAGGCUUUAUAUUACCUUGGAAGCACUAACUUUACCAAUGCACGUAUUACAAGAUGGGCGCUGAUGUUGCAGGAUUAUUCCUUUGAUGUUGUUCAUGUCAAAGGGGAGGACAAUCUGCUUGCUGAUCUGUGUUCAAGAUUGCUAUAGACUUUCAAAUACGCAGCUACAUGAGCUACAUACUUAUGUAUUGUUUUUAUACAUGUCUUAUGCAUUUUAUGGUUCCAAUGUAUACAUUGUUGUUUGAAAAUGUUUGCACUUUAUGUUAGAUGGUAUUAUGUUGCAUUUAGUAUUAUUGACAUUAAUUUGCUGAUUAUGCAUUUUAAAUUUGAUUGUUUGGUAGAUUGUGAUUUUGUGAAUGGUUCAUAGUGUAAUGUGGAUACUUUGGUAAAAAGUGUUAUUGGUAAUUUUUCUUCUAAGUUGUUAUGUUUGGAAGAGUGAUGUUAAUGCGGAUGCAUUUUCCUAGAUGGAUGUGCUUACCUUGUAGCUGCAAUGAUAUCUUCUUACUUUUCUUUCAGUUUGAGGUACGGAAACUGGUCCAUACUUUGUAAGAACCAGUUUGGGGGGAGAGGGGGAAUGUCGGUGCGUAGAUUAUGGCAUUCUAGCACCAAUGUGUAUUAAGUGCACUAUUUUUGAACGCACUUUCUUUUUGUUGCCUUGCUUGUAAGUUAAUGGAGUGUUUUUGUUCUGCUGGUGUAACGUUUGUUGAGAUUCUUCUGUGUUCCCCUGUUUAGGGUGAGUAUCUAAGGCAUAACUGCGUUUCGCAGUUGUUUCGAUGCCAUAGUGAUAGUCUACUAGACCUUUCUAGUUUGUCUUUACUUUGUCUUUACAGGGAGUUAGUUUGGGAUUGGAAGUCUACGCUGGUGACUAGAGACAGCAGUGUGUUGUGUUGUGGUUUUCGAACAUUAAUGUGUACGUUGUGGGACAGCAAGGUGUAGAAUUUAUUAUUUAAUUAACAAAUUCACAGUAUUAAAAUGUUUCCAAAUUCAAUGUCAUUACUCAAUUAGUUUGUCAUCAUACUUAUAUUUAUAUCAUUAAAUAUUUACAUUGUUA
This is a long non-coding RNA of Biomphalaria glabrata, 2326 nucleotides long. RefSeq lists it as uncharacterized. The record is from RefSeq and is a predicted model, not a curated record. The transcript has 2 exons. NCBI's taxonomy places the organism in Eukaryota, Metazoa, Mollusca, Gastropoda, Planorbidae.